ACCCUGCAGAAAUUGGCGUUGGUGUUGGUGAAAAGCUCCUCAGCCCCCUCACUGACAGUGGUAACGCGAGACAGACAGUGUGCCAUUUGCUGUGUGUCUGACUCAGAUGUCUUGACCUGGCCAACUGGACCGGCCUGGCUUCCAGCUCUGGCUUAUCUCUCUGGCACAGCAUUGGUCACUUCACACCCAGCCGCUUGAUCAGCCACAUUUGUAUGGGAUCGCUGAGACAGAAGCAGAUGCCAAAAUGACUGAAAUGAUGGCUGUCAUAUACCAAACAAAAGAUGAAGACCUUUGUUUAAGUUUUUCACAGAACAACUAUGUCCUUUCACUACCAACUUGUGAGUGCUUCGCCUGCACAGAACUGGACCACAUCAGGGCUCUGUUCAAUGUGAGAGUGAAAAUGACAAAUGUGGUUCAUAGUGGCUCAAGUGUAAACUACAGUACAUCGCAGGAAGGAAGAGGGACCUGGUGGUGGGGGUUGGGAGCAGGAUCCCAGACCAUAAAACCUGGCAGCCGCCCUCCUGCAUUGUUCACCACCACCAUUCCAGCCCAGUUUCACUGUUUUCUCCUUGUGCUCUGUGUAUCCUGUCCUUUUAGAGGCAAUAAAUGUUGUUGUUGUUCAUCAGACACACAUGAAUCCCGACCAGGCUGCUCAUGUGCCUUUGUUCUUACCAUGAAGACUCUUGUAGGCAGGAAGAAGGUUGUGUGCUAAAGAGCAAAUAAAUAGCCUUGUUAUAAAGUUUCACAAAGGCAUCAUAUGGGUCCAAUCAGACACAUAUCAGGUUGCAUGCAGCAUGUAUUACACUGUAUAUAGAGCACAAUAAAUACAUAAAGACAAUUCUAGCCUUUCAACUGGACGUUAACACAGCCAAAUCUCCUCUUAUAGCACCACCUUGUGGCUGGACUGAGCUGGUUUCUCUACAUCUUAGAAAUCACUGACUGCUGCAGUGUCAUAUAUGACCAGAAAAAAACAUGUAUUUCUCUUUAUUGUGCUAAUAUUAAUAAUACUAGUA
Molecule: long non-coding RNA, 1013 nt
Organism: Dicentrarchus labrax (European seabass)
Lineage: Eukaryota; Metazoa; Chordata; Actinopteri; Moronidae
Exons: 4
Source: RefSeq, a predicted model, not a curated record